RNAcentral lists this ribosomal RNA (422 nucleotides) under uncultured bacterium. RNAcentral describes it as "partial 16S ribosomal RNA". It matches the Rfam family "Bacterial small subunit ribosomal RNA", at positions 360 to 774 of the family's 1533-position model. The record is from RNAcentral.
AAUAUUGGACAAUGGGGGCAACCCUGAUCCAGCCAUCCCGCGUGUGCGAUGAAGGCCUUCGGGUUGUAAAGCACUCUUGGCUGGGAAGAAAAGGCGCGGGCUAAUACCCGGCGCCGCUGACGGCACCUGCAGACUAAGCACCGGCGAACUACGUGCCAGCAGCCGCGGUAAUACGUAGGGUGCAAGCGUUAGUCGGGAUUAAUGGGCGUAAAGCGUGCGGAGGCGGUUCGGCAAGGAGGAUGUGAAAUCCCGGGGGUUAACCUCGGAACUGCAUUCUUAACUGCCGGGCUAGAGUAUGUCAGAGGGGGGUAGAAUUCCACGUGUAGCAGUGAAAUGCGUAGAGAUGUGGAGGAAUACCGAUGGCGAAGGCAGCCCCCUGGGAUAAUACUGACGCUCAUGCACGAAAGCGUGGGGAGCAAACA